CUGAAAUGUCUUAUCGAACACACCAUUUUUGGCCUUCCAUUGCAUAAAUUCUAGUGUGGUACCCAGCUUUUUAUGGCCUCCUGGCAAUCUGGGUAUAGCAAUUUCCUAUGAUCAUCUAUCAUGCGCUGCAACUUUGAUACUUCCGUCUGAGUUUCGCAAUCUCUGUGUGCAUCCCUAAGCACCUGACCGAGGUCAUCAGUAUGGCCAUCUUCUGCAAACUCAUCUCCAUCAGCCUCUGCCAUUGUAGUAUCUGCAAAAGAUUGACCUAUAGCACAGUCCAUAAUGUUGUCAUCAUCCUCCUCCUCUUCACCGUCUUCCAUUA
RNAcentral lists this long non-coding RNA (322 nucleotides) under Setaria viridis. Its description in RNAcentral is "long non-coding RNA (SVIR_LNC000250)". The record is from RNAcentral. Lineage: Eukaryota; Viridiplantae; Streptophyta; Magnoliopsida; Poales; Poaceae.